ACAAUGUGAUGGUCAUGAAGUCUCUGUCAGAGAGGAAAGAGGGAGUUAAUCUAUAAUGAAGAUCAACAGUGAAGAGGAAAGGGGUCUUCCCUGGAACGCUUCAGUCAUAUACGACAUUUUACACAACAAUAAUGGACCUGUGUAAGGAGGUAUGUGUGGGAGAAGAUUCCAGAAGGUCUUGAGACACUCCAGAUGAAGGUUGGUGUGGGGCUGUGCUGCUGGAGCACCAGAGAGUGAAAAGAGGUUAUCUCCCUCUGUGCCAGGCCAGAGUGCAGUGGUGCAAUCACGGCUCACUGUAGUCUCAACCUCCUGGGCUCAAGAGAUCCUCCCACUUCAGCCUCCCAAGCAGCUAAGACUACAGUUAUUUUAUUCUUAUGAGCUUGUGGGCUCCAUCUACCAACCUCUGGGCAAAUGCUCAUCUGACUUCCAUAGACACACAGCAAGCAGACAACCACACAAAGAGGAAGAGGGAGAAUAUUUACCAGCCAUGGAACAUCUGCUCUGUGCUUAUAUCUCAUAUGCAUUAUCUCUAAUUAUCAAAAGAAGGUUAGAAGCAAGGCACAAGUCAUACCUACAUUCAAGGAGAGGGGACCAUGCAAAGGAUAAACUGCAGAGAGACAACAGAUUUACAUCCCAGACACAUUCACACUGGGCCAAGAGCAGCUGCCAUUGCAGAUUCGAGUCACGUCCUUUUUUCCUUCCUUCUCCUUCUUGGAGUUACAACAGAAGCUGGGGAGGUGAGAGUGCAGAAAGGACGUGGAUGAAGCAGAGAGGCACGUGCCUGUCUCAUUCGCCUCUGGAUCUGCUGCAUCCAGGACUGUGCCAGCACAAAGUGGGAGCCCGAUAAAUAUUUAUUGAAGAAAUGAAAGGUGACAAAAGGCAGAAGGAGGGAGACCCCAAAAAGAGAGAUGGGAUCCCACUAUAUUGCACAGGCUGGUCUCAAACUCCUGAGCUCAAGCGAUCCUCCUGCCUUGGCCUCCCACGGUGCUGAGACUACAGGUGUGAGCCACCACUCCCAGCCUGAUUUAUAUUUUAUAAAGAGGCAACGAUGGAGUACACAGCUGAGCAAUCUCUUGCAUUUCUGGACCUUGAGCAUCAGGAAGCUUAGGGAGGGUGAAAACUCAGAAGAAAGCUCAGAGUUGAGACCUUUGAUUUUUUGCCCAGAGAGUCCAGCUAACACACUUUAUAACCCAAAAGGCCUUACAAAUAUUUCAGAGCAGAGGCAGCAUUUUUGCACUGGAUAAACAAAGGUACGGUAAUUUCUUCAUAGUUUAUUUUCAUUACAAGUAAUUCUUUUCCUGAAGAAAAAUUUAUAUUUCAGAUUUAUUUCCCCUCUCAAAGGGGAGGGGAGUUAUAAUAUUCUGUUUCCAUAGCACCAUUCCUCAAGAUCAAACCCAGGCAGGCAUUUUUACAGCACACACUUCCAUAUGUCAUUGCUAAUCCUCGCAACCUUGAGGAAACUGAGGUGCAAAGGGGUUGAGGAAUGUGUUCACCAUCCCAAAGCCAACGAAGUGCCAGAACCCAAAUCCAAGCUUGGCUGUCUCAUCCCCAAGGACGUACUCUUUAUGCCGUUCCUUAUGACUUUUCAUGCAGCAGGUGCAAGGCAGCAAGAAUUUGGCUCUUCUGACAUUUAUCAGGCACCUGGUAUGUGCCAGGCCUACUGUAAACCCCAAGAUGACAUGGUCCAUGUCUAUCCAUUCAGCAUCAGAGAGACUGUUAUCAGGACUUGAGGCCUGAGACACAGCCCUGAAUCAGAUGCAGGCCUCUGGUGUUUGCAAAGGAUGCGUGAGUAUGUGUAUGUGUAUGCGUGCAUUGUGUGUAGGGGUGUGUGUAUGUUGGGGGUUGGGGGCAGAAAAUGCUCCCUGAACUGUUGGUAUUAAGGCAGAUCUUUGAUGGAGGGACUGGGGUGUGGAGACUUGAACCCUAGUUUCAAAGUGGGGACCUCGAACACUAGUAUGGCCAGCAGACAGGCUGGAGUUGCUGAAUUGUCAGCUAGGUCUUUAAUCCACUCCCCUUCUCUAAAUCAGGGUGGAAUUGGACUCAGGGCUGGUUCAGGGCUGAGGUUUCCGGGGGAUGAAUGAUUCCAGACAGUGGGAAGGGGUGAUGGAUGAUGAACCUGGCAAGUCACAGGACUAUGGACUUGGCUGUAUGUUGCAUGUAUGUGUAAGAUCUGAGUUGAGACCUUUGAUUUUUGCCCAGAAAGUCCAGCUAACAUACUAUAUAAGCCAGUGAGACCAGCCAGUGUCUGUUCAUUGCCUCUGCCUUGCCCCUAUGCCUGCCCGCCUCCUAUAGCAGGUCCCUAUAGCAUAAUGAAAAUGCGAACAACCUUUUCUCUGGACACUGGGGAAUCUAGUCUGGUGGAUAAAGAUGGAUGGCUGUUAAACGAUC
Molecule: long non-coding RNA, 2388 nt
Filed under: Homo sapiens (human)
Lineage: Eukaryota; Metazoa; Chordata; Mammalia; Primates; Hominidae
Description: T cell leukemia/lymphoma 6 (TCL6)
Rfam family: T-cell leukemia/lymphoma 6 conserved region 3 (bases 613-749)
Source: RNAcentral